UACGAAGGGGGCUAGCGUUGCUCGGAAUCACUGGGCGUAAAGGGUGCGUAGGCGGGUCUUUAAGUCAGGGGUGAAAUCCUGGAGCUCAACUCCAGAACUGCCUUUGAUACUGAGGAUCUUGAGUUCGGGAGAGGUGAGUGGAACUGCGAGUGUAGAGGUGAAAUUCGUAGAUAUUGGGAAGAACACCGGUGGCGAAGGCGGCUAUCUGGACCGACAUUGACGCUGAUGCGCGAAAGCGUGGGGAGCAAACAGG
RNAcentral lists this ribosomal RNA (253 nucleotides) under uncultured bacterium. RNAcentral describes it as "partial 16S ribosomal RNA". It matches the Rfam family "Bacterial small subunit ribosomal RNA", at positions 524 to 776 of the family's 1533-position model. The record is from RNAcentral.